Molecule: ribosomal RNA, 460 nt
Filed under: uncultured bacterium
Lineage: Bacteria
Description: partial 16S ribosomal RNA
Rfam family: Bacterial small subunit ribosomal RNA
Source: RNAcentral
CCUACGGGAGGCAGCAGUGAGGAAUAUUGGUCAAUGGACGAGAGUCUGAACCAGCCAAGUAGCGUGAAGGAUGACUGCCCUAUGGGUUGUAAACUUCUUUUAUAAAGGAAUAAAACGAGGCACGUGUGCCUUUUUGCAUGUACUUUAUGAAUAAGGAUCGGCUAACUCCGUGCCAGCAGCCGCGGUAAUACGGAGGAUCCGAGCGUUAUCCGGAUUUAUUGGGUUUAAAGGGAGCGUAGAUGGGUUGUUAAGUCAGUUGUGAAAGUUUGCGGCUCAACCGUAAAAUUGCAAUUGAUACUGGAAGUCUUGAGUACAGUUGAGGUAGGCGGAAUGCGUGGUGUAGCGGUGAAAUGCUUAGAUAUCACGAAGAACCCCGAUUGCGAAGGCAGCUUACUAAGCUGUGACUGACAUUGAUGCUCGAAAGUGUGGGUAUCAAACAGGAUUAGAUACCCGAGUAGUC